Molecule: ribosomal RNA, 440 nt
Filed under: uncultured bacterium
Lineage: Bacteria
Description: partial 16S ribosomal RNA
Rfam family: Bacterial small subunit ribosomal RNA
Source: RNAcentral
CCUACGGGUGGCAGCAGUGGGGGAUAUUGCACAAUGGGGGCAACCCUGAUGCAGCGACGCCGCGUGAGCGAUGGAGUACUUCGGUAUGUAAAGCUCUGUCAGCAGGGAAGAGAAUGACGGUACCUGACCAAGAAGCCCCGGCUAAAUACGUGCCAGCAGCCGCGGUAAUACGUAUGGGGCAAGCGUUAUCCGGAUUUACUGGGUGGAAAGGGAGCGCAGGCGGCGCGUUAAGCCUGGUGUGAAAGCCCGCGGCCCAACCGCGGGACUGCAUUGGGAACUGGCGCGCUGGAGUGCCGGAGGGGUAGGCGGAAUUCCUAGUGUAGCGGUGAAAUGCGUAGAUAUUAGGAGGAACACCAGUGGCGAAGGCGGCCUACUGGACGGUGACUGACGCUGAGGCUCGAAAGCGUGGGGAGCAAACAGGAUUAGAUACCCCGGUAGUC